Molecule: non-coding RNA, 2724 nt
Organism: Odocoileus virginianus texanus
Lineage: Eukaryota; Metazoa; Chordata; Mammalia; Artiodactyla; Cervidae
Source: RefSeq, a predicted model, not a curated record
GGAGCUGGCCACGGCCCGGGCCCCAUCCUAGCAGCUUCCAGCCACCCUCUGGGGACGCGAGGUCCACCUGCAACUGCCUUUCUCAUGCAUGUCUUCAGAAACGGGGCCCGAGCCCUGACCUCGGGCACUGGCUCUUGGGAGGCCGAAUCACCAGGGACCCAUCCAGGAAGCUGCCCAGCUGCUGCCCAGGCACACAGGCCUGGCUUCCCUGGAAAUCUCGGGCCCUGGCCACCUACAGCCGGGUCAACUGGGCUCAUGUUCAGCUGGGGCCCAAGGUGGGAUCUGGGGCCUGUCCUGCCUUGGCUGCAGCUAAAGAUGUGAUGGGGGCCAAUUCCCCUUCUGGCAGGCCCCCAGGAUGUACACCCAUGAGGGCAGGUCCUGAUGGUGGUUCCUGGGCCCCAGGGCCGAGGUAGUAGUGGCGCCAGGGGCCUUGGACAAAAGGCAGGAUGGCUGAAGAAUCAGUGAGGGACAGUGGUGGGAGGAAUGGGAGGCAAACGCUGAAGGGGUGGGCAUCAGCUGCAGGAAUAUGACCUUCUGGCCCCCUUCACCCCUCAUCUCCACCCCUGCCUCCUCCAAUCGACCCAGUGGGUGGCCGAGCACCAUGUAUGCGGGUGUGUGUGUCCUUGAGUUUGUGAACUUAUGUGUGUUUCUGAGUGUGAAUGGUGUGUAAAGAUGAGUUUGUGAGUGUGUGUGUGUAUUUGUCUAUAUCUGGGCAAGUCUGUGUGAGUGUGUGUGUUUUGGGGGUGUGUGUCUGUGUCUCUGUAUCUAUGUAUCUGUGCGCAUGUGUCUGGCGUGUGCGUGUGUGUCUGGUCGUGUGACUGACCCUCAGACUCCCACCCUUGCUCCCCCAUGCCUCUCCACCCAAGCCCAGCAGAACUUGGGGGCCCCUCGGCCCAGGUGGUCUCAGGGAAGGGUGGGGGCGCGGAGUCUGGACACCCUGUGGCCCCAUCUCAUCCAGACGUCACCAGGAAGCUGCCUUCAUCGUCAACACCGCUGUUUCCCGCGGACCCGGGACCGAAUGCUUUGCUAAAGCUGGUAAAAUGGAACCAAAUCAACUGUUCGAUGGAUUUGGUCCCCUUCAACCAGCUGUAGCUGCGCAUUGAUGGCGCCUCGGCCCGGCGGGAGGACACACGGCCACAUGGAGGCCACUCAGGCCAGCUCUGCCAGGGGACCCAGACGGCCCUCCUCGAGGUGGGUUCCUCGGAGACACCCUCCCCUUGCAAGCAACGAGGCAGCAGAACUUGGCUGCCCCGCCCCCACUGCCCUCUCCAGUUUACCAUGAAAAUAAAUGUCUGCUUUCACACCGUAGCAUCACUGAGAGUGUGUGUCCAGGAGCCGGUGCCACGUGGGGUCUGGCCCCACGUCAUGCCCUCUCGGCCUUGCUCUGCCUUCCCCUUCAGAGCUACCUCGGUCCAGGAGGCCAUCGAGGGCUGCAUACUGGUUUCCUUGGGGGUGCUGAGGGUGGUGAUUGGGGGCAGGCCCACUGAAUCCCUGCCCCCACAUAUCCUGGGCCACCCUGGGUUCUGGGAUAGCUGGCUGCUGGAUCAGUCGGCUCCUGACAGAGCCCAUCCCAGAAACCACCCCUGCACUGAGGAGCCCCACUCCUGCCUUCUACCUGCUGAAGCAGCUCUCAGUUUGGUGUGGAGUCCUGCACCCGCUGAGGACUCGGGCGCCCACCCCUCGACCUCAGGAAGGGAAAACUCUGGGCUUGGAGCCUGCCAACCCCGCCCCCCGCCACAAGCUGGCUGUUGCCCCAGAAGCUGAUCUAUUAGCUUUCAAUGGAUUGGAUCCACUUCAUGUCUAUCUCCCGUGGGGGUUAGAGCUGCCAGAGCCCAGGAAAGGAGCACCCGCCCUCGGGAGGGGGGCUUCUCUGCAGAUGCUGAGCCCAGACCAGGGGCCAGUUUGCUGGCUGGGCUCCCAUUCCAUGUGCCUGGCCAGGAUGGUCCUCCAGGUGAGGGCGGAGGUGCCUCCGGGGCCCUGCCCAGGAGUUGGGGAUGUGCGGGCCCAGCACCGCACCUUCCAGGUUCUGGGAGAACCUGUGAUCCAGGAGCUUUGGAGGCUCUUGAAGAAGAAAGUGACACAUUGGAGCCUGGACACAUCUUCACCGCUGCCCCCUACAAAGGCUUAGCUGGGAUGAGUGGACUUCUCUUUCAUCCUGAAUCUCCAGUUCAUAGAGGGGACACUGCUCCCCCAACUCCUGACUCUGUUUCUCCCACGUGGUGACCCUCGGCUCCAGCGGAUGGACCUCUGUGUUGGGUAGAGGUUUGGGUCUCAGUAGCUGAGGGCCUAUAGUUUUUGGACGGAAGCUUGGUCCUCACUUUUGUUCUGGACAUUUCUUUCUUACCAGGUAGCCCUGAAAUGCCCCUCACAUUAUAGUAAAGAAAAGGAAAUUCUUGUUUGAAAGAGAUUCAUCUUUCUCUCUUUCCUUGACGACAUGGAUGCUCCCCAGUAACCAGCCCCAGAUGGUGGAGGAUGAGAGGGGAUGAUGGUGGGAAAGGUAGCCGGCCCUUCCUAUGAGGACGGGUGGGGUCGGGGUGCUUUGCUGAGGGUCCACAGGCUGGAAAGCCCCUUCCUGUCUUUUAAACAGCCUCUGCAGAAGGAGCCUGCUUCCAGGUUUGCCUGUCAGAAGUGGGGGCUCAGCCUGCUUUGUCAUCUCCCUCUGCCUGCCAGUUUUGGGGAAGCCCUCUCACUUUCAAAUAAACACGACAGUCGGGCCAAGUGUCA